UGUGUUUUUGAGUGAUAUAGGAUCCUAGAAUUUUUUCCAAGUAUCGUUGCCAUCUUCACUUAUACACACCCACCCACACUGACAUUAACCAUCUCUGAUUUCCCUCCCCCAAAGCCUCCGUACGAAACCCCAAAAGAUCAAAAUCAGCUUCCACAAAAUCACUCACCUGCUCAAGUAGCUAACCCCCUCAGUCCGAUGUGCAAUAGAAAACAAUGGCCGAUUCGUCUUCCCAACUACAUUGCCUUCAACUACUCGAACUGCGUGGCCCCGAACCUUGAAGAAGAUCUCCAAACUCUUCAGCAUUAUCGCUCGGACAUCGAACGCCAAUCUAACUAGGGAACUUUUUUCUUUAAGUCUCUCAAAAACUUUGCCCCUGCCCUCAAUCGAGUCUCUCACGGCCUACACGGAGGAGUACCAGACGUUCCUCGUCGAGCUCUUUCUCGUAUCGCUCCUCCUCUUCUUCAGCCAUUACAACAACCACCAGUAUUAACCCUAACCCUAACCUUACUGAUACGAAUUCGGUACCCAACUAGCUCGGUGAAACACUAAAAGAGAAGGGUAAUGCUUCAUGUCCCGAAGCUCGCUCGAUUGGGAGUGGAGCAAAAAUUCGUUGAUCUGGGGUAGGGCCUUCUUCAGGGGAGAAUAAGGAUAGAAAAGUAGACUUUAAUGGGUUUUCGAUGGAACCCGUUAAUGGAUUCGGUUCUUUGACUAGUAGUGCGAAUUCACAAGAUCUACCGGUGGAGAAAGUUGAUGAGUUGCCUAAUCCUACCUGGGAGGUAUUGGGUGAGGUGUGGAUGUGAUGAAGGUUAACCCCAAAAACUGCAUAAACUGCAUGAGCAUUGAAGGCCAAAGGAUGAAAGACACAAGGCAGUCGUGAUUAAUACAUGCCCUUUGUGAAUCACUACUACAUUGAUGGGGAUAUUUUAAGGAUUGCUGGACAUAUGAUACAAUUUUUUGGCAGGACAAAAGAUUUCCUGUAUUUGUUUAUUCUUUUUGCUACUAGUCCAACCACCAAAGAUGACAAACUACAAUGUUGAUGAGCACUGUAUUGACGUGGAGCCUCCAAUCCUUAACAGAGUGAAGGGCUCUUUGUGUUAGAAAGAAGCUCAUGUGGUACUUUAAGAGAAUAGAAGGCAUUCAAGGAGAAUGCUGCAGCAUUAUAACAUCAAGAUGGUUUACAGGCAAGC
Ziziphus jujuba (common jujube) is the source of this 1187-nucleotide long non-coding RNA. RefSeq lists it as uncharacterized. NCBI's taxonomy places the organism in Eukaryota, Viridiplantae, Streptophyta, Magnoliopsida, Rosales, Rhamnaceae. The transcript is spliced from 5 exons. The record is from RefSeq and is a predicted model, not a curated record.